This 1240-nucleotide ribosomal RNA is filed under the name metagenome. RNAcentral's name for it is "bacterial SSU rRNA". It matches the Rfam family "Bacterial small subunit ribosomal RNA", at positions 267 to 1520 of the family's 1533-position model. The record is from RNAcentral.
ACCAAGGCGACGACGGGUAGCCGGCCUGAGAGGGCGACCGGCCACACUGGACUGAGACACGGCCCAGACUCCUACGGGAGGCAGCAGUGGGGAAUAUUGCGCAAUGGGCGAAAGCCUGACGCAGCGACGCCGCGUGAGGGACGAAGGCCUUCGGGUUGUAAACCUCUUUCAGCAGGGAAGAAGCGAAAGUGACGGUACCUGCAGAAGAAGCACCGGCUAACUACGUGCCAGCAGCCGCGGUAAUACGUAGGGUGCAAGCGUUGUCCGGAAUUAUUGGGCGUAAAGAGCUCGUAGGUGUUUGUCGCGUCUGCUGUGAAAACUCGGGGCUUAACCCCGGGCCUGCAGUGGGUACGGGCAGACUAGAGUGCGGUAGGGGAGACUGGAAUUCCUGGUGUAGCGGUGAAAUGCGCAGAUAUCAGGAGGAACACCGGUGGCGAAGGCGGGUCUCUGGGCCGUAACUGACGCUGAGGAGCGAAAGCAUGGGGAGCGAACAGGAUUAGAUACCCUGGUAGUCCAUGCCGUAAACGUUGGGCGCUAGGUGUGGGGCUCUUUCCACGAGUUCCGUGCCGCAGCAAACGCAUUAAGCGCCCCGCCUGGGGAGUACGGCCGCAAGGCUAAAACUCAAAGGAAUUGACGGGGGCCCGCACAAGCGGCGGAGCAUGCGGAUUAAUUCGAUGCAACGCGAAGAACCUUACCAUGGCUUGACAUGAACGGUAAUCCGGCAGAGAUGUCGGGUCCGUAAGGGCCGUUCACAGGUGGUGCAUGGUUGUCGUCAGCUCGUGUCGUGAGAUGUUGGGUUAAGUCCCGCAACGAGCGCAACCCUCGUUCUAUGUUGCCAGCACGUAAUGGUGGGGACUCAUAGGAGACUGCCGGGGUCAACUCGGAGGAAGGUGGGGAUGACGUCAAAUCAUCAUGCCCCUUAUGUCUUGGGCUUCACGCAUGCUACAAUGGCCAGUACAAAGGGCUGCGAGACCGUAAGGUGGAGCGAAUCCCAAAAAGCUGGUCUCAGUUCGGAUCGGGGUCUGCAACUCGACCCCGUGAGGUCGGAGUCGCUAGUAAUCGCAGAUCAGCAACGCUGCGGUGAAUACGUUCCCGGGCCUUGUACACACCGCCCGUCACGUCACGAAAGUCGGUAACACCCGAAGCCGGUGGCCCAACCCUUGUGGAGGGAGCCGUCGAAGGUGGGACUGGCGAUUGGGACGAAGUCGAAACAAGGUAGCCGUACCGGGAGGUGCGGCUG